UUUGAUGGCGGCCGGCGCACGGGUGAGUAACACGUAUCCAACCUGCCGAUGACUCGGGGAUAGCCUUUCGAAAGAAAGAUUAAUACCCGAUGGCAUAGUUCUUCCGCAUGGUAGAACUAUUAAAGAAUUUCGGUCAUCGAUGGGGAUGCGUUCCAUUAGGUUGUUGGCGGGGUAACGGCCCACCAAGCCUUCGAUGGAUAGGGGUUCUGAGAGGAAGGUCCCCCACAUUGGAACUGAGACACGGUCCAAACUCCUACGGGAGGCAGCAUG
RNAcentral lists this ribosomal RNA (270 nucleotides) under uncultured bacterium. RNAcentral describes it as "partial 16S ribosomal RNA". It matches the Rfam family "Bacterial small subunit ribosomal RNA", at positions 84 to 353 of the family's 1533-position model. The record is from RNAcentral.